UCUGAUAAGCAUAAGAGGAAUUUUGCUCUCCCCUUGCACUACUAGUCCAACUCAUUUGCAUCCAAUGUUGCCCGAAAUUUGAGGAAUUUAGCAGAAGAAGGGGAGUUCAAUUUUCAUCAACUCCCACUGCAUAUCAGAGAGAGAGAGAGAGAAUGGAAAGAGCACCAGGAAAUCAAAAAAUGUCAUACUAUGACCAUGUCCAAAAACGUCGCGAGGAAAAAGGCUGCCUCUAUGCUUGCUUGUUUGCAAUGUGCUGCUGCUGUUGCUACAUUGAGACUUGCGAGUGCUGUUUGGAGACUGCCUGCUGUUGCUGCUCCUAGCACUGGAUUAAGACGCUCUUCAACUUGAUUUAGCUUGUUCAUGGCGUGUUGCUGCUUUUGUUGCUACGAGACUUGCGAGUGUUGUUUGGACAUUCUGUGUUGUAAAUGCUUCUAGCGUUUCUCCGCAGAAGGGAAUGCUAUGUAUUAUGAGUCCGUUUCUCAUCCUAUUUCGUUGUCAUUUUUCAAUUAUAUUUUGUUACCUUGAGUAACCCAGAGUCACGAGUUUGUGAAUUGGGAAUUCUUUAUGAAAUAAAGGUGGUGUUCUGUUUUACUCCUAAUAAAA
This is a long non-coding RNA of Rhododendron vialii, 603 nucleotides long. RefSeq lists it as uncharacterized. The transcript is spliced from 3 exons. NCBI's taxonomy places the organism in Eukaryota, Viridiplantae, Streptophyta, Magnoliopsida, Ericales, Ericaceae. The record is from RefSeq and is a predicted model, not a curated record.